Xenia sp. Carnegie-2017 is the source of this 466-nucleotide long non-coding RNA. RefSeq lists it as uncharacterized. The transcript is spliced from 3 exons. Lineage: Eukaryota; Metazoa; Cnidaria; Anthozoa; Malacalcyonacea; Xeniidae. The record is from RefSeq and is a predicted model, not a curated record.
AGUCUUUGCUUCAGAAAAGUUUACAUAUUCGUCGUGUUUUUAAAGGCAACUUUUCAAACGAAGUUUGUGGAGUGGGGUCAUCCUCCAGUUGGAUGUUGCUCUCUAUCUUUACCUCAUUUAUUUAAUCAUUCACAGUGCCUUCGAGAAACAGACGUUGAUGGUCAACAGUAAUAUACAAGAACUUGAGGAUAAAAAUCACGAGGAAUGCGAUUUGUUUCAAAAGUACAUCAGCAACGAUGAUAUUUUGAUGGCAUCGUAAGAAGAUGGUGGACGAGCUUACAGGAAUGAUUUACCAUCAAGGUAUAUUUACGAUCAGACUUAUGGCGCGUGCAAAUAUUUAUUGUACAAAUAGGAUAUUGUGUCCCCAAUGAUCCGUUUGUAACCUUUACGCAGCGGAAUUUGUAGCGUUGUUGGUGUAAAUCAUUCGUAACUUGAGUUGAAUAACAAAACAUACUCGUUCAUUGAA